GGGCCUCUUGCUCACGCUUGAUUAGAGCAGUGGACUCGUAAUCCAUUAGUACCAUGUACGACUCACGGGAGGCCCA
This 76-nucleotide transfer RNA is filed under the name Caballeronia sordidicola. Its description in RNAcentral is "tRNA-OTHER". It matches the Rfam family "tRNA". Rfam says of the family: Transfer RNA (tRNA) molecules are approximately 80 nucleotides in length. Their secondary structure includes four short double-helical elements and three loops (D, anti-codon, and T loops). Lineage: Bacteria; Pseudomonadati; Pseudomonadota; Betaproteobacteria; Burkholderiales; Burkholderiaceae. The record is from RNAcentral.